This is a non-coding RNA of Podarcis lilfordi (Lilford's wall lizard), 2898 nucleotides long. The record is from the annotation of a GenBank genome assembly. Lineage: Eukaryota; Metazoa; Chordata; Lepidosauria; Squamata; Lacertidae.
AGUGGAGUGCCUAGGUUUCAAGCAAAACAUGGCAAACCCCCAAAAAAGUGCCGGUUACCACACAUACCCAAGUGACUCUCUAGGUAUGUAGAAGUAUAUUAGUCUGUAAAUUAACAGAGAUUUUUUAAAAACCAAAACAGAACGGAACAAAACUGGCACAAGAAGGACUUCUAAGCUACUAGGAUCUUCAGAUUGUGGAGACUGAUGAGCCCUGGAAUGUUACUGGAGGGGGAAAUUAACUCUCUUUAUAUCCUGAGAGAGAUACUGGGGAUUUAAUAAGGGAGUAUUAAAAGGAAACAUUUUUUCAAUGUAACUUUAAAGAAUCUGCAGCAGGAUGAUUUUUGUGUGUUUAACUCCAAGCCAUGCCAUGGCAUGAUGUGGUAUAAGUCUUCUCCUGUCACUUCAAGCUUUAUUCAGAGCCAAACACUCCUGAUUAAACAGUUCUCCCUUUUCAGGUCUUGUCAUAGUCCAAACAUUCAAUGAUGUGCCAAAGGAUGUCUGUCUAUGUUGCUACCACUGCUGGAUCCCAUGAAUUUCCCAUGAGUUCCCCUUUGCUUCUUGAAAUGCUCAAAGGUGCUUACUAUCCCCCCCUCCCCGUUUUCCUGUUUUUAACUGCAUUGUGCCGCAACACUAAAUAGGAUUGGGGGUGGGAUGGGGAGCAGCCUGUGCUUCGUUUCCCUCCCCUCAUAAUCCAUGAAUGCACACCCCAGGCCUUAUUGUGAAUCCCCAAGGAUUCACCCCUCUUGGGAGACAUGUACAUCAUCCCAGUACAGAUGCAUGAAGAAGUUAUUUUUUGUCUCCAGCUGCUACAUAACUAACCUAUUUUCAGCAUCAAGUGCCUGUUCAUCUUUUGCUUCCACUCUUCUGUCUGUUUGGGUCUCUGAAUUUCCAAACCCUCUUUUGUAACAUAUCUAACACUGGAGAUAACAGCUCCCAUCACAGCAAAGCCAGCUGCAUAAGUUUUCUCUCAGCUGCUGGUUUCUGUGUAACCAUAACAGCCUAUGGAAAGCAUCAGCCCUCAUCCCCUCAGUAACCUUAAUUUCUCCAUCACAUUCGCAAGCCUACCAGGCUGUAGAUGCUCAGGUGCCUGAACCUGUUCUAACCCAUGAAUAACAUUAUGCAGAAAUUCAUCUAAACCUUGUUCACAAUUGAAGAAUUGCCCUUGCGUCUGAAUAAGAGUAUUUUGGGAGAAAAGAGCUCCCAAAUUCUUAAAAGAUAAACUCAGCUGUUUCUUCUUGUCUCCUUUCUUCCCAAGUCCUCCAAUUGCCUCAGGACAAUGUCUGUCUUAUGUUCCUCACAUAUUUGAUAAGUCUCAGCAUCUCCUUCAUUCUUUCUUGGACAUCACAGCUGGUGUAUGACUCUCCCAGGCACCCCAUAGUAGGCUGAGAACCACAGAGUCCCACACAACAUGGCAGCAUAGGAAGUGCCCCCGGGUUCUGUCCUGUGGGGUUUUCCCCCUCCCCAGUCUCCAUACUUGCCUCUGCUGCCAGCUCAUUUGCAGGUGCUGUUCAUGAUGCCAAAAGACAGGUGCAAGUUUCCUUGAAGUUCACAAUCUGAGAAGGAAGGCUGGAAGCCUACACAAACACCUUGGUUAAAACGAGUCUUAUUGUAACUGAGCAAAGGAGUAACUCUUCUCCAGAAUACAAUAGCCUUGUACUGCAAAGCAAGAUAACUAAGGGUGGAUAUAUCUGGCUCUUAAGAACUUGCUUGGAAAAUUGAAAAAGGUACAGAAAUACCUGUAUUAGAACAGAAACUGACAGCAGAGGGUGGGGAGGAAUGAUUGAAAGGACAAAAUACCCAGUGUGGACAAAAUGCUGUGCAAUAGCAAUGACCAUUAAUGUCUGAAGCACUGGGAAUGUACAGAAGCCAAAAGCAGAUACUGAAAAAUCAGACCUGACUCAUUUGCAAUAUGGGACCCCUCUCUGGAAGCACCCUUAGAGGAUGGUGUCUUCUUGUGGAAACGAAGCAAAACUAAACAAUUGCCGAAUGUCUGAUAGCAGCUGAUCUGCAUUUCCUCUCAUCAUACUCUGCUGGAUGCCACAAGUCGAUUGGGCUUGCACCCAACCAUUGUUUAAAUAGCAGCAUUGCCCCUUCCUUCCCUUCCCACCUGACCCAGGCUUCAGUGUGGAGCAUCCUUGCUAAGGAGUGACGAGUUUGGGAGCUUUUUAAUCUGUCAAAGGAUCAUACUAACGAAUGAUCAGACUUAGGUUGCAAACUUCUAGGGACUGCUACUUGCUUGAAGACGCCAACAGUUUGACAAAGCCUGUUUUUAAACUGUCAUGAAUCAGAAACUUUUCAGAGAUCUUUAUUCAAUGUCAACGUAAACAGAAUAUCAAGAUUAAAACGUAUUUUCUCCACAUGUAAGAUUAAGCUGGUUAGACUGUCUUAACGUGAGCAAGGAGAGAAGCUUCUCAGCAGACAUCUUCUUCCCCAGCUGAAUGUUAAACCUGAAUAUAAAGUAACACUUCCUGUUAAUGUAUUAAGGGGAAACUUAAUCUGCUCUCCUUGGCCAACAGAGCAGAAAAGAAACUUAGACUUGUUCUGUGCGUGUAGGAUUCCCCCCCCCCCCGAAAGCUUAAUUGGGAGAAGGGCUAAAUUUUGAAUAUAUUGAUUGUGAGAUCUGGUAACCUGUGACUGCAGCUCAAUGUACAGAACAAUAUAGCCUUUACAAACUUUCUGUGAAUAAGUUUAAUAUUUGCUCUCUGGUUUCCUUGUUACAGAACACUGUUGCAGCUUUCAAGUAUCUGAGGGAAACAAUGCGCUGGUUCUGUCUCCAGUGGUCACCAGGUAUAUUCCACUGGAGACACUGUUGUUCAGGCGCAAUGAGAAAAUAGCAGGAGGCGAGGCGAUCAGUUUUCAGUGGGAGGAAAGAGAGAAGAAACAGACCAGUAAUGCAGA